RNAcentral lists this ribosomal RNA (253 nucleotides) under uncultured bacterium. Its description in RNAcentral is "partial 16S ribosomal RNA". It matches the Rfam family "Bacterial small subunit ribosomal RNA", at positions 524 to 776 of the family's 1533-position model. The record is from RNAcentral.
UACGAAGGGGGCGAGCGUUGUUCGGAAUUACUGGGCGUAAAGGGCGCGUAGGCGGCCGAUCAAGUUAGAUGUGAAAGUCCUGGGCUUAACCUGGGGACUGCAUUUGAUACUGAUUGGCUUGAAUUCGGGAGAGGAUAGCGGAAUUCCCAGUGUAGAGGUGAAAUUCGUAGAUAUUGGGAAGAACACCGGUGGCGAAGGCGGCUAUCUGGACCGACAUUGACGCUGAGGCGCGAAAGCUAGGGGAGCAAACAGG